UACGAGUGGUGCAAGCGUUAUUCGGAGUGAUUGGGCGUAAAGGGUGUGUAGGUGGUAUGUUAAGUCAAUUGUCAAAUUCCCCGGCCUAACUGGGGCUCGGCAGUUGAUACUGGCGUGCUUGAGGGUGGAAGAGAGAAGUGGAAUUCUCGGAGUAGCGGUAAAAUGCGUAGAUCUCGAGAGGAACACCGAUGGCGAAGGCAGCUUCUUGGUCCACACCUGACACUGAGGCACGAAAGCGUGGGGAGCAAAC
RNAcentral lists this ribosomal RNA (250 nucleotides) under uncultured bacterium. Its description in RNAcentral is "partial 16S ribosomal RNA". It matches the Rfam family "Bacterial small subunit ribosomal RNA", at positions 524 to 773 of the family's 1533-position model. The record is from RNAcentral.